Molecule: ribosomal RNA, 867 nt
Filed under: uncultured bacterium
Lineage: Bacteria
Description: bacterial SSU rRNA
Rfam family: Bacterial small subunit ribosomal RNA
Source: RNAcentral
AGAGUUUGAUCCUGGCUCAGGAUGAACGCUGGCGGCAUGUCUAAGGCAUGCAAGUCGAGGGUUGGUAGCAAUACCGGCCCGGCAGACGGGUGCGUAACACAUUGGUAACCUGCCUCUAUCUCGGGCAUAACCCUGCGAAAGCGGGGACAAUUCCCGAUAGACAUGUGGGGUCAUAAGACAUUCACAUGUAAAGUUCCGACGGAUAGAGAGGGGCCUAUGGCUCAUCAGUUAGUUGGUAGGGUAAUGGCCUACCAAGACAAUGACGAGUAGCGGGUGUGAGAGCAUGACCCGCCUCACUGGGACUGAGAAACUGCCCAGACUCCUACGGGAGGCUGCAGUCAAGAAUCUUCCUCAAUGGCCGAAAGGCUGAAGGAGCAAUGCCGCGUGAUCGAAGAAGCCCCUCGGGGUGUAAAGAUCUUUUAUCAGGGACGAAUUUUGACGGUACCUGAUGAAUAAGCAACUGCUAACUUCGUGCCAGCAGCAGCGGUAAUACGAAGGUUGCAAGCGUUAUCCGGAUUAAUUGGGCGUAAAGCGUCCGCAGAUGGUUUGAUAAGCCGUGGGUCAAAUCCUGAAGCUCAACUUCAGGGCUGCUUACGAAACUAUCAUUCUCGAGACUGGAAGAGGCAAGCGGAAUUACCGGUGUAGCGGUAAAAUGCGUUAAUAUCGGUAAGAACACCAAAAGCGAAGGCAGCUUGCUGGGACAGUUCUGACAUUAAUGGACGAAAGCGUGGGGAGCGAAUGGGAUUAGAUACCCCAGUAGUCCACGCCGUAAACGAUGGGUACUAAGCAUUGGAAGUAUCGACCCUUUCAGUGUUGUUUAAUUAAGCUAACGCCUUAAGUACCCCGCCUGGGAAGUACGGUCGCAAG